GACGAACGCUGGCGGCGUGCUUAACACAUGCAAGUCGAACGGUGAAGCGCCUUCCUUUUUGGUGGGUGUGGAUGAGUGGCGAACGGGUGAGUAACACGUGAGUAACCUGCCCCCUUCUUCUGGAUAACCGCAUGAAAGUGUGGCUAAUACGGGAUAUUCUGGGUCUGUCGCAUGAUGGGUCUGGGAAAGAUAUUGUUUCGGUGGGGGAUGGGCUCGCGGCCUAUCAGCUUGUUGGUGGGGUGAUGGCCUACCAAGGCGGUGACGGGUAGCCGGCCUGAGAGGGUGGACGGUCACACUGGGACUGAGGCACGGCCCAGACUCCUACGGGAGGCAGCAGUGGGGAAUAUUGCACAGUGGGCGCAAGCCUGAUGCAGCGACGCCGCGUGAGGGAUGGAGGCCUUCGGGUUGUGAACCUCUUUCGCCAGUGAAGCAGGCCUGCCUCGUUUGUGGGUGGGUUGACGGUAGCUGGAUAAGAAGCGCCGGCUAACUACGUG
RNAcentral lists this ribosomal RNA (494 nucleotides) under uncultured bacterium. Its description in RNAcentral is "partial 16S ribosomal RNA". It matches the Rfam family "Bacterial small subunit ribosomal RNA", at positions 28 to 507 of the family's 1533-position model. The record is from RNAcentral.